GGGAAUAUAACUCAAUGGUAGAGUGUAUGCUUUGCAAGCAUAAAGUUAUCGGUUCAAGCCCGAUUAUUUCCA
This 72-nucleotide transfer RNA is filed under the name Ulnaria acus. RNAcentral describes it as "tRNA-Ala". It matches the Rfam family "tRNA". Rfam says of the family: Transfer RNA (tRNA) molecules are approximately 80 nucleotides in length. Their secondary structure includes four short double-helical elements and three loops (D, anti-codon, and T loops). Lineage: Eukaryota; Bacillariophyta; Fragilariophyceae; Fragilariales; Fragilariaceae. The record is from RNAcentral.